Molecule: ribosomal RNA, 467 nt
Filed under: uncultured bacterium
Lineage: Bacteria
Description: partial 16S ribosomal RNA
Rfam family: Bacterial small subunit ribosomal RNA
Source: RNAcentral
GAUGAACGCUGGCGGCGUGCUUAACACAUGCAAGUCGAACGGAAAGGCCUCUGCUUGCAGGGGUACUCGAGUGGCGAACGGGUGAGUAACACGUGGGUGAUCUGCCCUGCACUUCGGGAUAAGCCUGGGAAACUGGGUCUAAUACCGGAUAGGACAAUGGUUUGGAUGCUGUUGUGGAAAGUUUUUCGGUGUGGGAUGAGCUCGCGGCCUAUCAGCUUGUUGGUGAGGUAAUGGCCUACCAAGGCGUCGACGGGUAGCCGGCCUGAGAGGGUGUACGGCCACAUUGGGACUGAGAUACGGCCCAGACUCCUACGGGAGGCAGCAGUGGGGAAUAUUGCACAAUGGGCGCAAGCCUGAUGCAGCGACGCCGCGUGGGGGAUGACGGCCUUCGGGUUGUAAACUCCUUUCGCUAGGGACGAAGCGUUUUUGUGACGGUACCUGGAGAAGAAGCACCGGCUAACUACGUG